Molecule: long non-coding RNA, 2675 nt
Organism: Esox lucius (northern pike)
Lineage: Eukaryota; Metazoa; Chordata; Actinopteri; Esociformes; Esocidae
Source: Ensembl
UGAAGGGAUAGCUCCCGUAUUUAAAGCAUUGUUAGAGAAAGGCAUAAUUGCUCCAUGUCCAAACAGUCCCUGUCGCACUCCUAUUUUCCCAGUAAAGAAAGCCAAAGUGGUUGGACAACCUGUGGCUUGGCGAUUUGUACAAGAUCUUAAAAAAGGCCCGCUGCACGACAUCAAGCCGACAUCAAGCACGACAUCAAGGACUGCAAGAGAAAGCACUGGAGCAAGCCACGCUGGUUGGGUCCAUACCAAGUUCAACUGGUCACUCUGCUGUCAAAGUUGCUGAACGAGGAACCUGGGUCCACGCCACACACUGUAAGAAGGCUCCAGCGUUAGAAGAUAUGGCGAAAGAAUAGGUAAAUGGAAAUUACCUAAGGGCGGCGUGGCUUGUGGUGCUAGUAACCAUCAACUCCAACACAGCCUGCAACCCUGGAGCCAGAGAGACAAGGACCAUGGAACCCCUUCAGGAGGUCUGGAGGAAUGAGAUGCACCAUCGGGUACCUGCUGAUUUUAAGUAUUGUCGUUGUCAUACCAAUGGUGUAGUUUUUCAAACCACACUAUGAUGAUCAUGGACAGAUUGUAAAUAUGACAUCUAAUGAAGCAAGGAAAGAGACAAUUGUACACCAUGAGAAAAGGUCCGAACGACAGAUAGGGCCUGAUUUUGAACAGACUCGGUUAAUCUCUUGUGAAAUGAUGAACUGCCCCCCGGAUGGGGAUUGCUAUGUACUGACAAGCCCAGUGUUGAAGGAUAAUAAGUGGUAUUGGACUCUAUUUCCCUCCUCGUACUUUUCUCCCAACCAUGGGAUCAGGUGGAGAUGUUAUGAUAAUGAUUAUUGCACUGUUACCAUUUCCAAACCUCUAGGAGUAAUCCAGGAUUACUGGUGCUUCAGUACUGACGAAGACAACACACCUUGCAGAUCACCUGACUUCCCUAAAGGUAGACCCGCUAUGAUAUGUUCCUUAACAGUUGCACAUACUGCUGUAGUUCCUACUCCUGCACCACGUCGUUCUGAACCAGGUAGAGUAAGGAGAGCACUGUUAGAGCCAGACAACGUAACCCUUAGGAUAAUGGUUGACUUUGCAAAACACAAGAACAUGACUAAUUGUUGGAUUUGCCAACACAUACCAACAUCUUCACGUUCCCCCAUGUUAACCUCUAUCCCAUUUUCAGUAGCAGACUGGCAGGCAUAUGGUUGGACCAAGGUGGCAGCACAAAUGACACUGCCAGGUUAACCUACACAGAGCGAGUAGGAGAACGUGGCUUCAUUGUAAGGAUACAGAGGAUCCUGGUGCAGACAGACUGUCGCACUGAGGAGGAUGAAGUCAGAUCAGGUGCUUCAGGAGCCACACAGAGUUUAGGACAAAGUGAUUGCUCCACCACAACUCAAACCGAUUUCGAGGCUCUAGGGGCUUUGCCGUUGCAGGUCUAUAUAGUCUGUGGUGGGGAAGCAUACAGUUGCAUUCCUAGAGAUGCAGGUGGAGUAUGCUACAUGGCGUACUUGGUCCUUUGAUUAGGCGAGCCGAACACAGGGAAAUGGCAGCCUUAUAUCAGUCCCAAUUUCGCCACAAGCGAACACUUACUAGAACUCAACGUAUAUUUAGUGUUCUGAUCCCAGGAUAUGGCACAUACACCUCACAGGAAGAGAUAAUGGCACUGUCCGCAGUGUUGGAAAAACACAUGAAUUUGACAACUGACACAAUUGCAGCAAUAGGUACGGAGCUGAGUGAAACCCUUUCAGUUGCUCUGCAGAAUAGGAUGGCCCUAGACAUGAUUUUGGCUUCCCAGGGCGGUGUCUGUAAGGUGGUGGGAUCCGAGUGUUAUACAUACAUUUCAGAUGCAUCACAAAAGGUAAUUAAUUUAGUCCAAGAAACUAAUAAAGGAAUAGAGGAACUUAAUACAGUUCAUGGGUGGGACCCAUUCUCAGGGUUAUCCUCUAUGGUUGGUCCCUGGGGGAUGACAAUAUACAAGAUAUUGACUACUGCCUUAGCCGCUAUUGCCUUUUUGUUUGUUUGUGGUAUAUUUUUGUCUUGUUUAAUAAAAAUGUGUGUUUCUAAGUUUGCAACACAGGUAAUGGUCCAGAAGUAUGCAAAUGAGGAUUCCGAUGUUUCAGAGAUGUUCCAGUUCCCAAAUUACUGGGAUGAUGAUAUCAAAAAAAGUUCAUGUUGUUCAAGAGCAUUGUUUGUAGUAGUCUGAAGCUUAAUGAAUUGAUGUUAAAUGAUCUGAUUGGUUAAACGUUGCAUGUUAGUAUUACAUGACAUUUCAUGAUAUAGGGCGGAUUGUCAGGGAAAUGUAUUUUAUUGAUGUAUUCCUACUGAUUAAAGGACUGAGUCCCCAUGUUUUGAUAAGUAAAGGACUGUAGUUAGAGGGGGAUCUGGUGUUGCCUAGGAGGCAUCCUUGACCAGCAUCCUUGACCGGCACCAGCGGAUUAGAUGGUUACUCGUAAAUCAGUAGAUCUGUAUGACCCUUUUAGGGUCUAUCUGUUGGGUGUCCAGACACUGGGACUCCUAAAAGGUUGAAAAGGUUAACCAUGUGAAUGUGUUUUAUUGACACACAUCUUACCACACCCCUUUUUCCUCCUUUAAAUAAGGAUGAUUGUCCUGUGUUACUUUAGAGAUUAUUCAUUGUUACUUUGUAACCUGUGUAUUCUCUCCUUGCAAGAAUAAACUGUUUAUUGUGC